UACAGAGGGUGCAAGCGUUAAUCGGAAUGACUGGGCGUAAAGGGCGCGUAGGCGGUUAUUUAAGUGGAUUGUGAAAGGCCUGGGCUUAACCUAGGAAUGGCAAGUUAUACUGAAUAGCUAGAGUAUUGGAGAGGGAAGCAGAAUUUCCGGUGUAGCGGUGAAAUGCGUAGAGAUCGGAAAGAAUACCGGUGGCGAAGGCGGCUUUCUGGCCAAAUGCUGACGCUGAGGCGCGAAGGCGUGGGUAGCGAACAGG
RNAcentral lists this ribosomal RNA (253 nucleotides) under uncultured organism. RNAcentral describes it as "partial 16S ribosomal RNA". It matches the Rfam family "Bacterial small subunit ribosomal RNA", at positions 524 to 776 of the family's 1533-position model. The record is from RNAcentral.